CAAAGCCUCACUCCAUAACUCUCUAACUUAUAACUCUAUAAGAACGAGUGAUGACCGAAGUCAUUACUAGUAAUAAAACAACAUUACGAGAUUUCCGUGACUGCUCCUUCGGAUCAUUCACUUCAAUCUCUUCAUUUGACAGUUCACCGACUGAAUUGCAUAAAAAUAAGGGCUUUUCUUUGAGUUGAGGAUCUCCCAUGGGUAAAGACUCAUUCGA
This 217-nucleotide long non-coding RNA is filed under the name Spirodela polyrhiza (greater duckweed). Its description in RNAcentral is "long non-coding RNA (SPOL_LNC002064)". Lineage: Eukaryota; Viridiplantae; Streptophyta; Magnoliopsida; Alismatales; Araceae. The record is from RNAcentral.